Lolium perenne is the source of this 322-nucleotide long non-coding RNA. RefSeq lists it as uncharacterized. The record is from RefSeq and is a predicted model, not a curated record. NCBI's taxonomy places the organism in Eukaryota, Viridiplantae, Streptophyta, Magnoliopsida, Poales, Poaceae.
UAUUAUCUUGGGUGUGUUGUAUGCCAAGUGAUUCGGCCAACGUGGUCCUUCUAUACUCAUACACCACCUAGCCUGGUUUCGAAUGGUGUACCUGCUGCCUGCAGAUCGAUAUGGUUUCAUGAUAUGUGUGCUACCCUAAUGCCAUACUAGUUCUUUUGUUCUUUGUUUUUUGUCAUUUGUUAUGUUGUUUGAACUUGAAAUUGUUUGAAUAUAUGAGACACUUGUAACAUGUAUCAUAAGGAUUUAGUGUGGUGCCUUGUUGGACAAUUAUGCCAACUGUAUUCGGUUAAUUUGUGACUUAUGAAAUAUCAUUUUCAGUGCC